This 1987-nucleotide long non-coding RNA is filed under the name Homo sapiens (human). RNAcentral describes it as "HSALNT0128727". The record is from RNAcentral. Lineage: Eukaryota; Metazoa; Chordata; Mammalia; Primates; Hominidae.
AGCCAUGGAGUUUUGCCCCCUGCUUUAUUGCUCCCAAGCAGGUUCCUCACCUGCCGAGCGCCUGCGGCUGUGUGCCAAAGGCUGAGUGCGCCACAGCGAGGAGCAGCUGCCAGACCUGGAGUGAGCAGAGGGAGAAACUGGACUUCAGAAUAAUCAGAGCUGGAUGCUAAUCUCAGGUCCCACCUGCACUAGCUGUGUGGUCUCGGGAGAGUCUUACGGGUGGGAAGGACCAGGGCCUUGUGGGCUGAGAGGCUUGGGGAAGCCAGGGGGAGCCAGGUCCCCUCACUGCUCUCGAAGAACCGGCAGUGGUGUUGGAACUCCCAGAGCUGGAGAGGCUCAGGCCGGGAAGGGCUGUCCUGACCUGCGGGCCAUCAUGGCCUUUCGGGGAGGGAGGGAGGAGAUGAAGAGGUGGCACAGAAUUGACAAAGGAAAGGCAGGAAUGAAAAGGAAGGUGGGGGAAUGUGGAAGGCAAAAUGAGAAGUCUCUCCGGGUGGCUGAUGUCACCCUUUCUGAUUGCUCGAGGUGCCAGCAGGGGCACCUUGGCAAGGUGUCCCCUCUCCCAGGAGGCUGAGACCAGGAUCUGAUCCAAGCUGGGCCACCUGGAGAGAGUGGCCUGAACUAGUCUCCAUCAUGCUCUGGGCCUGGGUUUCUGCAUUUGUAAAAUGAGAGGAAUGUGCUGGAUCAGAUACAAUCUCCUCUCCCACCAGGCCCACCCCACACUCGGCAGGAAAGCAAGGACUGGGGCCCCAACAGCUGUCCUUGAGAGUGGGAGCCGCUGAGGGCACAGGAAGGAGUUUUGGGGGCGGCAGGCAGGGAAGCAAGCAGGAUGGGAACGCCAGGCUCUCAGGGGAAGGAACCAGAUAAAUCAUCAGCAAGGAAAACCUAUAGGUUUCCCCAAAGUACAAUUUGAAUAGAAAUGUCAAAUGCACCUGGAGUUAUUACACCCUGUAAUCCUAAUGACAUAUAAUCCUAUACACCAACAGGAUAAUAUCACGAGUGUGUGUGGCAACACUGCCGCAUGUUAAUCCUGCCUGCCUCCUGGGAUGAUCUUUCUCAUCCCAGCAGAGCCUACAGAGCCUCCUUUGUUCUUCCCAGAAGUGGCCUCAUCGGGCUGGACCUGGGGGAGGUGACCAAGGAAGUGAAAAUCAAAGAGCCCAAGGAAUGAAGCUGGCAUGGCGCUAGUCAGGGGAUGGACAGGAUCUAUGCUCUGUUCUGCCAGGAGCACUCUCGGAGAUAUGGUUCGUCCUCUUGAGAGGGAAAGCCUCCUGGGACUCGCGUGCACCCGUCCUGUCCAGCUGCGCUCCUUAGUUGCGGGCCCUGGAGCCAGGGAAGGUGGGAGUGGACUUUCGCCUGAGGCAGCAGCUGCGUGGUUAGUGGUCUGUGGCCAGGGGGGCAUUUCAAGGUAGGGCACAGAACUUCCAGGCCAGUGCACCAGCCCAAAAUAGAGCCCUGGUUGGCUUUAUCUACCGUGUAGCCUGUGCUGGUCCCCAUGACAUAAGCUUCUUUUGCUGUGAGACAGGAAAUCUCUUUCUAGGCUCCUGGGGAGAUGAGAUUUUUCAGGUCAAAGUCUCAGAGUCAUUCACACAAUCCAGGAAUCUCUUCCCAAACUCCAUACUCCUAUGCUCGGCCCUCCAAGGCAGUGAUUCUCGAAGUAGGAACCACUUCAAGACCAGCAGCUCAGCACUACCAGGGAUCUUAUUAGAAAUGCAAAUUCUGCCAGGUGCGAUAGCUCACACCAGUAAUCCCAGCACUUCGGGAGGCCGAGGGGGCAGAUCACUUGAGGUCAGGAGUUUGAAACCAGCCUGGCCAACAUGGUGAAAUCCUGUCUCUACGAAAAGUACAAAAAUUAGCUGGGCAUGAUGGCGCAUACCUGGAGUCCCAGCUACUCAGGAGGCUGAGGCAGGAGAAUCGCUUCAACCCAGGAAGCGGAGGUUGCAGUGAGCUGAGGUUGCACCACUGCACUCCAGCCAGGACGACAGAGCAAGAC